This 400-nucleotide long non-coding RNA is filed under the name Salmo salar (Atlantic salmon). Its description in RNAcentral is "lncRNA (ENSSSAG00000107041.1)". Lineage: Eukaryota; Metazoa; Chordata; Actinopteri; Salmoniformes; Salmonidae. The record is from RNAcentral.
CUCAAGUUGAAUACUUUUUAAGCAUUUUACAUCUUCACUUGAACAGAAUUCCAUGGUGACCAUGAAGCUACUAGUCCUAGUGAUGUGCCUGAUUGGACUUUGUUCCUCCAUUCCUGUUUCUGAGAAACAUGAUCGAGAGGAGCGCUCAGCUAGCGAUGAGAAUUUCAGGGGUUAUGGGCGUGGUUUGGGAGCGUUUUACCCCUAUCAGCAGCCUCAGUACCCAUCCUACUUCCCUUAUGCGCAGCCUUCUCAAGGUAACUCUGCCCUGAUGGCCCUCCUGCCCUUCCUAUUGGCCAGCCUCGCCUCUGCUCCUGCCGCAGCUCCUGCUGCAGCUCCGCUAGCCCCAGCCCCAGCAGCGGGUGGAAAAUGAGAUGGGUGUCGAUAGAGAAAGGAGAAAAAA